This 1697-nucleotide long non-coding RNA is filed under the name Phoenix dactylifera (date palm). Its description in RNAcentral is "long non-coding RNA (PDAC_LNC014078)". The record is from RNAcentral. Lineage: Eukaryota; Viridiplantae; Streptophyta; Magnoliopsida; Arecales; Arecaceae.
ACGAACAAAAAUUAUAUGGGGCAGGCAUUUUACUUUGCCACAUUUUUUCUAGUGCCCAUCUUAAAGAAGAAAUCUAAAAGUCAGAGACUCCUUCUAACGGAGUUGUUAGUCCCGUGAAUGAAAAAAAUCAAAGAAAGGAAAGAAAGUCGCACGUGGCAUUCUGUUUCUUCCUCGUUUUCAAAAUAUACUUUUCACCGGUACAUACUAUCAUCUCUAAUGAAGAAUAUAGCUCCAUGAGAUGCGGGAACCACUUAAAAGCAUAUAUCAAUGGACUGAAUCUCAGCUCUGCCCAAGGUGGGUUUUGCACUUGGUCAUGGUGAUAUGCUUGAUAAAGGUUUGUUUCGUCGAUAGCAUUUUCUGAUUUGGGAUGCGUAGUAGCUGUUGUCACAGUAGGGGUCCUAAGGCGGGAAUUGUCCUACCCAUUUUGGGAACGUCCAGUGGCAAAGUCACUGAAUGGGUAAGUCGCCAAUCCCUAGCUGAAUCUAGGGCAGAGGAUUGAGUUUCUUUUUACCAAAUCCAGAAGAUGAAGCUACUGAGAUCUCUCGCAAUACAUUUUUCUUUUUCCGAUACGGCUCGCGACCUAAAAAAAUCCCGGCCCACUCGCCACGGUCCACUCGUUCACUCGCUGCUUCAAGUAAACCACUCGAUGCUUGAAGUCUCGGAUCCACUAAUACGAGCAGCGCGAGCAGUGGUGCAAUGAAUAGUAGUUGGAAGCAGGCAGCUCAAUAAGCGAAUCUGUCCCGGAUUCAGAUUGGUAUUGGUGUAGGCUCUAAGCCAAGCCUAUCUCGUGUGCUAUAAAAUACACAACGUACUUUCCCAAGCCUUUCUCAAGCUACGCCAGUCAAGCUUUCUCAGAAAACAAAGAAAGAGGAGUACGCUUUCCAGCGAGGAUACAAGAGUGCGUCGUUUUCAAGCCAGUUUAGCUUCUUAGACCCCACUUUCUUUUCCUGAUGCUGAACCGAAAGUGUUCCAUACUCCCUCCUCCCUUCUUUGUAUGGUGAAAGAUCUAAAGCAAAAGACUCAUAGGGUUCGGUUAGAAAGCACCGCCUUCAAUCAAUGUCCGUCCCCUGCCCACACUCACCGGUAGAAAGAACAUGAACGCAUCCGUUUUCUUUCUGUUUGGAUGGCCAGCGGGCAAAGUAAGGCUUCGCCGUUUGAGAACCCCUUCUUUCUGUGGAGCCGUUAGGUAGGCUACCUGUGAGGUUGAGGUGAGUGUGGGCAGGGGACGGACAUUUCUUGUCUUGCUGCUUGGUAGGCCAGCCAGUAAGUCGGUUGUCUCUUUUUCAACAGGGUAGGAAGAACAGGAGGCUUCCCCAACUCAAUGUAAGCGUUCCUUAUAGUCGAGUGGCUUCCAUCUCCUCUCCUUAUAGUCGAGUGGCUUCCAUCUCCUCUCCUUUUAGUCGAGAUCUUUUAGAACCUUCACCUUUGAGUCGAGUUGCUUCCUAGUCCACCCAUCCUAAAAGUGGUCUUCCAAGCAAGAUGAAAUACUCGAAUCAUCCGUUGAUUAUACUUUGUCAAGCGAUUGGAGUGACCACAGAAGCGGAACGGAUAUGGCUAAGUAAUACACUAAACAAAUUAGUCAUGUAGCAAGCCAAUACACACAAUUAGAUAAAUCAAUAAACAGUUUCUAGAACAUAAUGUUCACUGGUACAAAGUACACGGUCAAGUGAUGCACAUUUAACAAAUUAGUCAUCUAG